RNAcentral lists this long non-coding RNA (1048 nucleotides) under Lonchura striata (white-rumped munia). Its description in RNAcentral is "domestica (Bengalese finch) lncRNA (ENSLSDG00000002388.1)". The record is from RNAcentral. Lineage: Eukaryota; Metazoa; Chordata; Aves; Passeriformes; Estrildidae.
UCAGUUGCUUUGAGUUCUGUCUGGAUGGAGGAUAGAUUUGGUACUUGACACUUCCUGCAAUAAGAGGGUCAAAUUUGUGAACUACAAUACCAAUUUUUUCCACAAUUUAAACAUUUACAUACAACCCAGCUAGUGUGUCCAGUAUUAGGAUGAAUCAGACAGGGUAUAUGGUAUGGCACUGAUGGAAAUUGUAAUUUCUCCUCUUCUUUAUAUGUCACAGAAUAUGAGAACCAAAACGGUCCUGAUCCUCCUGUUUGAAGUGGAAGUAUUCCUCCCCAAGGAGGGUGUCAGAGGCAUCUCGGGACUUGUCCAGGCAGCACUUGAAACCACUGAUGGACCUCGGCAGUCUGGGAGGCACCCCCGGCAGCUCCGCCGCUGAGCCAGCCUUCUCCUCAGCGGCAAACCCGCACAAUCCACGCCCAGCACCACUGCCGGGCCGGCGAGCACAUCCGGCAACCCCGCAUCCUCCGGGACCCUGGCACAACUGAGCCAGCCCCCAGCCCCCAGCAGCGUCUCACGCAAACCGCGCCCUGUGCCACCUCCACCGCGUGGGCAAACGCUGGAAGUUGCUGCGCCAGGUCACCCACAUUAAACAGCCCCUGCCACAGCCCCCUGAGACCUUGUCGCUCGCUCAAGAGCGGCCAAACACCUCCUAAACUUGAUAAGCCCCAGCCUGGCAUCCCCAGGUGUCCCUGAUAUUCUUUUCCUUUUGUAAGCAUCUGGGCAAACUAUCAGCAUAUUUUAUCUUCCCUUCAAGGAGGGCUUUUCUGCUAGAUCUUCCUGAAUCCCAGUUCAGCACUGAACAACCUCCAAACAACCAUGUGUUAAGACACCUCCCUGCUCUUCAUACAGAAAUUGUAUUCAAACUCCUGUCCUCCUCCAGUACCAAGUUAUCAUUAUUCCACAUUCCAACAUUAUAGUCUAUUAACCACUUUUUUUUUCUUUUUCAACCUCUCUUUUUCUUUUUUCAUUUUUUUCUCUUUGUUUUUUUUUUCUCCACUCUAUUUUUCCUCUGAAUUAACACACUUUGGACUGCAUGAGGUGUACA